AAGUCGUAACAAGGUUUCCGUAGGUGAACCUGCGGAAGGAUCAUUAAAGAAUUAGGCUUCGCGGCCAAGUUCUCACCCUUUGUAUGCCGAAACCAUGUUGCUUUGGAGCCCAGUGCCCAUUUGCUCAUUCGGCUGCCAGGACGGCAUUAGUUAAACCUAACGAAAUCUCUGCUGUCUGAGUACUAUACAAUAGUUAAAA
Molecule: unclassified non-coding RNA, 199 nt
Filed under: plant metagenome
Description: partial contains small subunit ribosomal RNA and internal transcribed spacer 1
Rfam family: Eukaryotic small subunit ribosomal RNA (bases 1-46)
Source: RNAcentral